GAUCAUUACUGAUUUGCUUAAUUGCACCACAUGUGUUUUUUAUUGAACAAAUUUCUUUGGUGGCGGGAGCAAUCCUACCGCCAGAGGUUAUAACUAAACCAAACUUUAUUUACAGUCAAACUUGAUUUAUUAUUACAAUAGUCAAAACUUUCAACAACGGAUCUCUUGGUUCUCGCAUCGAUGAAGAACGCAGCGAAAUGCGAUACGUAAUAUGAAUUGCAGAUAUUCGUGAAUCAUCGAAUCUUUGAACGCACAUUGCGCCCUUUGGUAUUCCAAAGGGCAUGCCUGUUUGAGCGUCAUUUCUCCCUCAAACCCCCGGGUUUGGUGUUGAGCAAUACGCUAGGUUUGUUUGAAAGAAUUUAACGUGGAAACUUAUUUUAAGCGACUUAGGUUUAUCCAAAAACGCUUAUUUUGCUAGUGGCCACCACAAUUAUUCAUAACUUGACCUCA
This 450-nucleotide unclassified non-coding RNA is filed under the name Candida tropicalis. Its description in RNAcentral is "sequence contains 18S rRNA gene, ITS1, 5.8S rRNA gene, ITS2, 28S rRNA gene". The stretch from base 146 to 299 matches the Rfam family "5.8S ribosomal RNA". Lineage: Eukaryota; Fungi; Ascomycota; Pichiomycetes; Serinales; Debaryomycetaceae. The record is from RNAcentral.